GGACACCUACGGGACGCAGCAGUGGGGGAUAUUGCACAAUGGGGGGAACCCUGAUGCAGCGACGCCGCGUGGGUGAAGAAGCGCCUCGGCGCGUAAAGCCCUGUCAGCAGGGAAGAAAAUGACGGUACCUGAAGAAGGAGCAUCGGCUAACUCCGUGCCAGCAGCCGCGGUAAUACGGAGGAUGCGAGCGUUAUCCGGAUUUAUUGGGUUUAAAGGGUGCGUAGGCGGAUUUUUAAGUCAGCGGUAAAAUGUCCGGGCUCAACCCGGGCCGGCCGUUGAAACUGGGGAUCUUGAGUGGGCGAGAA
RNAcentral lists this ribosomal RNA (305 nucleotides) under uncultured bacterium. RNAcentral's name for it is "bacterial SSU rRNA". It matches the Rfam family "Bacterial small subunit ribosomal RNA", at positions 333 to 656 of the family's 1533-position model. The record is from RNAcentral.